ACUCAGGAAAACUGAAAGGAAGGAUGCCUU
Molecule: non-coding RNA, 30 nt
Filed under: Rattus norvegicus (Norway rat)
Lineage: Eukaryota; Metazoa; Chordata; Mammalia; Rodentia; Muridae
Source: RNAcentral